AUUGAACGCUGGCGGCAGGCCUAACACAUGCAAGUCGAGCGGAUGAAGGGAGCUUGCUCCUGGAUUCAGCGGCGGACGGGUGAGUAAUGCCUAGGAAUCUGCCUGGUAGUGGAGGAUAACGUCCGGAAACGGGCGCUAAUACCGCAUACGUCCUGAGGGAGAAAGUGGGGGAUCUUCGGACCUCACGCUAUCAGAUGAGCCUAGGUCGGAUUAGCUAGUUGGUGGGGUAAAGGCCUACCAAGGCGACGAUCCGUAACUGGUCUGAGAGGAUGAUCAGUCACACUGGAACUGAGACACGGUCCAGACUCCUACGGGAGGCAGCAGUGGGGAAUAUUGGACAAUGGGCGAAAGCCUGAUCCAGCCAUGCCGCGUGUGUGAAGAAGGUCUUCGGAUUGUAAAGCACUUUAAGUUGGGAGGAAGGGCAGUAAGUUAAUACCUUGCUGUUUUGACGUUACCAACAGAGUAAGCACCGGCUAACUUCGUG
RNAcentral lists this ribosomal RNA (484 nucleotides) under uncultured bacterium. Its description in RNAcentral is "partial 16S ribosomal RNA". It matches the Rfam family "Bacterial small subunit ribosomal RNA", at positions 30 to 507 of the family's 1533-position model. The record is from RNAcentral.